UACGGGGGGGGCAAGCGUUGUUCGGAAUUACUGGGCGUAAAGGGCUCGUAGGUGGCCAACUAAGUCAGACGUGAAAUCCCUCAGCUUAACUGGGGAACUGCGUCUGAUACUGGAUGGCUUGAGUUUGGGAGAGGGAUGCGGAAUUCCAGGUGUAGCGGUGAAAUGCGUAGAUAUCUGGAGGAAUACCGGUGGCGAAGGCGGCAUCCUGGACCGACAUUGACGCUGAACGACGAAAGCUAGGGGAGCAAACGGG
Molecule: ribosomal RNA, 253 nt
Filed under: uncultured bacterium
Lineage: Bacteria
Description: partial 16S ribosomal RNA
Rfam family: Bacterial small subunit ribosomal RNA
Source: RNAcentral